Non-coding RNA from Bos taurus (domestic cattle), 72 nucleotides. The record is from Rfam. NCBI's taxonomy places the organism in Eukaryota, Metazoa, Chordata, Mammalia, Artiodactyla, Bovidae.
UCCAUGGUAGCUCAGAUGGUAAAGCGUCUGCCUGCAACGUGGGAGACCCAGGUUCGAUCCCUGGGUCGGGAG